CAUCGGGGCUGGGCCGGCCCCGGCUCCCCGGGGCCCCGGCGUCCGAGUCCAUGGCGGUGCCCAUGCUGCUGCUCAACCUCGUGGACCAGCUGGGGGAGGCGGACGAGGAGCUGGCGGGCAACCACGCGGAGCUGGGGGACUGGUGCGCCCAGAGGAUCCUGCAGCAUGUCCAAGACAGCCACUUUGGUGGUGGUAGCAGGAUAUCCUGCUUGGAGAUGGUCGGACUUGGCAGGUGCCUGGAGGAUGAACUUCAGGAAGGUGUGGGAGAUGCAUUUGGCCAACUGUCACUAUCAGGGAGUGAACUUCUAAAAUUCAAGAAGAAUUUGGAACUCUGUCUCCGAAUGCUACUGUUAUUAUAAUUUUGUCGUCCACUUUCACCCUCCGACUGUCAGGGUCGGCCUUCCGCGACAGGGGCCAUGGUCUCAGCUGCCGGCACCUGUUUCUCGGGUUCCCGCGCCAUGUGCUCUCAGGCUUUACGCCGGCAGCUGCUUGAUGCCUAACGCUUUUCAAGCAGCCCACUGGACUUCGGAAGAAAAGUUUCAGUAGCAUGCUUUCCAGAAGGAACUUUGUACCUAGGAUAAACAGUUUGGUCAAAUCUCAGAAAAUCUUUGUGUUUAGUUACUACAGCAGUCCUUGUGACAGCAACUAUUUCCUAAAGCACGUUAUAAAGUCUGGUGUGAAGUGUGUUUAGUCGAGAUCAAAUGUGUUUUAAGAGCCUUGUUUUUCCCUGAAACUUGGUUCCUUUCUUCAUGUGUUACAUUCUUUAUUAUUUCAAGAUCAGAGAUGAUUUAUCGAAGACACAGUUGUAUACAAGUUGGGAGAUAGUUCCUCCUGGAAGUUCUGCUUUAUUUCAUCCUGGCAAAAAUGAGAAUUCUCCAUAGGACUUUUUCCGAAAACACUCACGGCCUACGUGGAAUCAAACAACUGAAUGAUGCAUCCCAUUCUGAAAGUCGUUCUACUCAGUGCUACGAUGGGGUCCUCAGGGAAGUGGAGGGUCCCGGAGCAGCUGAGUGAAACUGAGGGCAGGAGCGAGGGGGCCAGAAACCGAGGGCACGUUAAAAAGCAGGAAACCCAAACCACUAUGCGAGUCUACCAAACCAGCGAGUGAGGAAUUAUUCUGUGUCGUAUUAACAACACAUAAACACUCUCUAUUUUAUAUGCUUUUAAAUUUAUUGUUAAUUACACAAGCAAAACAUGAAUAUAAUUCUCAUUUUAAAAUAUUAAACAAAUAGGAAUAAAAUAAAAGCUCCUUUUAGCCAUUCUCUAGGCCCCUCUCAAUUCCCCCUUUCCCGGAAGAUCCUUCCCGACAUUUCCUGCAUGUUUACAUGCAUAUAUGUACGGACACACUGGAGAGUUUCUCAUACUAUAUGCUUAUUCUGCAACUUGCUCUCUCUCCCAAUUCCCCCUUUCCCAGAAGAUCCAUAAGGAAGCGUGCCUGGGAGAGAGUUCUUAAUUAUAGCUCUGUACUCCACAGCAUGGAUAUAGCAGACUUUGUUCCCAGCUUCCCCUCCUCGGUGCACAUUUAGGGGUCCUGCGGGGUUUCGCUGAUGGGCACAAUGCCGCAUGGACACUCUUGCCCCAUCACACACACACACACACACACACACACACACACGAACACUGCUGUAAGAUUGAGUCAGGGAGGGCAGCGCUAGAUGGCUCCAACCAAGAGACCACCAAUGAUGCAGCUAGUGGCUUAGAGAAGACUGAACAUUGUUACUCGCUCUCAUAAGGGUCAGCCGAGCACUCCAGGUUGAAGGGACAUCUCUGUUCCACGCCGUCACUCAGGAAGCCCAGUGCUUCUCAAACCAUUUGUGGUGAAAGACCAGUUUAUGUCCACCCACCCCCCCCCCAAUCCAUUUUGCCCAAGGCUUUUGUAAAAUGCAAUAAAGAUAUCAUGGUGA
Lynx canadensis (Canada lynx) is the source of this 1904-nucleotide long non-coding RNA. RefSeq lists it as uncharacterized. NCBI's taxonomy places the organism in Eukaryota, Metazoa, Chordata, Mammalia, Carnivora, Felidae. The transcript is spliced from 2 exons. The record is from RefSeq and is a predicted model, not a curated record.